CCUACGGGAGGCAGCAGUGAGGAAUAUUGGUCAAUGGACGAGAGUCUGAACCAGCCAAGUAGCGUGAAGGAUGACUGCCCUAUGGGUUGUAAACUUCUUUUAUAAAGGAAUAAAACGAGGCACGCGUGCCUUUUUGCAUGUACUUUAUGAAUAAGGAUCGGCUAACUCCGUGCCAGCAGCCGCGGUAAUACGGAGGAUCCGAGCGUUAUCCGGAUUUAUUGGGUUUAAAGGGAGCGUAGAUGGGUUGUUAAGUCCGUUGUGAAAGUUUGCGGCUCAACCGUAAAAUUGCAAUUGAUACUGGCAGUCGUGAGUACAGUUGAGGUAGGCGGAAUUCGUGGUGUAGCGGUGAAAUGCUUAGAUAUCACGAAGAACCCCGAUUGCGAAGGCAGCUUACUAAACUGUGACUGACAUUGAUGCUCGAAAGUGUGGGUAUCAAACAGGAUUAGAUACCCCAGUAGUC
Molecule: ribosomal RNA, 460 nt
Filed under: uncultured bacterium
Lineage: Bacteria
Description: partial 16S ribosomal RNA
Rfam family: Bacterial small subunit ribosomal RNA
Source: RNAcentral